This 1119-nucleotide long non-coding RNA is filed under the name Olea europaea subsp. europaea. Lineage: Eukaryota; Viridiplantae; Streptophyta; Magnoliopsida; Lamiales; Oleaceae. The record is from RNAcentral.
CCUUGCCCAACCUCGAAGUGCUGAAAUUGCGGGAGUAUGCCUUCCAGGGCAGAGAGUGGAUACCAAAUGAAGGGGAAUUUCUCACACUAAAAUUCCUGCUAAUAUGGGAGACAGAUUUGGUGCACCUGAGAGCCAACAGUACCCAUUUUCCAUGUCUAGAGCACCUAAUCCUUAGAAAUUGCUCGAAGUUGGUAGAGAUCCCUUCUGAUAUUCGAGAUAUACCGACGCUUCAAAUAAUUGAAAUAGAUUGCUCCAGUCCAUCCGCUGUGGAUUCGGCAAAGAAAAUACUAGAUGACCAACAAAGCCUGGGAAAUGAUGGCCUUAAAGUUUUCAUCCAUCCAACAAAAACGAAAGUCUAUCCACUGAAAUUUGGGGUAAACUAAUUGUUCAUACUAUAUUUGUAUGUUACUUUAUUAAUUUUUAGAUAUUAAUUAACUUCCAACAGAUCCAGCAAGAUGAAUCAGGGCGCUUCUAUCAAAGAAAAACCAAACUCGAUGAGUUCAAGGUACAUCAUUUCCUCAACCUAUAUUUGUAUGUUACUUUCUUAAUUAGGUUUUAGAUACACGAAGGCAAAUAUUGGUACCAAUCUUGGAAAAACUUAUGAUCUCGAGACAACUCCUGAUUCAUCUAAAUUCAUAUCGCUGAUCCAUCGUUUAAUAUUUGACGUUGAUUAGCCGCGUUCUAGUUAACAGUUGAAACUAUCAUUUCAUUCACAAGUCUCAAUUGGGCAACUACUCACCAAGGAUUCUGUAUCGUCAGGCUAAAGCAAAAUCUGGAAGCAGCUCCAAAUCAUAGGAAUUGUUUCAUGAACGGAUUGACAUUCUGCAAUGCAUGAACAUUGAGAGGAUCUCAGUAAUCAAGUCAAGCUUCUUCCAACACCAUGAAUGCCUUUUGAGUUUGAUCACUUGUGCAAUUGCUUGUUAGUUAUUUGAUAUUAUUGAGAAUUUAUUUUAUUUUGGGUUUUUGGUUUUGGAUUGUACUAUGUCAUCGCGAUUGUUCUGUUCAACAUUAUUGAUUUGACUCGUUUUUACAGUAUUUUACCUUUGUGAAACAAUUAGUUCAGCAUUUGAUGUGUUGUACUAAAGUUCCAAGGUUUCUGAUUUUCUGUAUGUAUACUUA